RNAcentral lists this ribosomal RNA (253 nucleotides) under uncultured bacterium. RNAcentral's name for it is "partial 16S ribosomal RNA". It matches the Rfam family "Bacterial small subunit ribosomal RNA", at positions 524 to 776 of the family's 1533-position model. The record is from RNAcentral.
UACGGGGGGGGCAAGCGUUGUUCGGAAUUACUGGGCGUAAAGGGCUCGUAGGUGGCCAACUAAGUCAGACGUGAUAUCCCUCAGCUUAACUGGGGAACUGCGUCUGAUACUGGAUGGCUUGAGUUUGGGAGAGGGACGCGGAAUUCCAGGUGUAGCGGUGAAAUGCGUAGAUAUCGGAAGGAACGCCGGUGGCGAAAGCGGCGUGCUGGAUCUCUUCUGACGCUGAGGCGCGAAAGCCAGGGGAGCAAACGGG